CGGACGGGUGAGUAAUGUCUGGGAAACUGCCUGAUGGAGGGGGAUAACUGCCGGAAACGGUAGCUAAUACCGCAUAACGUCGCAAGACCAAAGAGGGGGACCUUCGGGCCUCUUGCCAUCGGAUGUGCCCAGAUGGGAUUAGCUAGUAGGUGGGGUAACGGCUCACCUAGGCGACGAUCCCUAGCUGGUCUGAGAGGAUGACCAGCCACACUGGAACUGAGACACGGUCCAG
RNAcentral lists this ribosomal RNA (232 nucleotides) under uncultured bacterium. RNAcentral describes it as "partial 16S ribosomal RNA". It matches the Rfam family "Bacterial small subunit ribosomal RNA", at positions 99 to 334 of the family's 1533-position model. The record is from RNAcentral.